This 2550-nucleotide ribosomal RNA is filed under the name Escherichia coli. RNAcentral describes it as "bacterial LSU rRNA". It matches the Rfam family "Bacterial large subunit ribosomal RNA", at positions 397 to 2925 of the family's 2925-position model. The record is from RNAcentral. Lineage: Bacteria; Pseudomonadati; Pseudomonadota; Gammaproteobacteria; Enterobacterales; Enterobacteriaceae.
CUGUGAGCUCGAUGAGUAGGGCGGGACACGUGGUAUCCUGUCUGAAUAUGGGGGGACCAUCCUCCAAGGCUAAAUACUCCUGACUGACCGAUAGUGAACCAGUACCGUGAGGGAAAGGCGAAAAGAACCCCGGCGAGGGGAGUGAAAAAGAACCUGAAACCGUGUACGUACAAGCAGUGGGAGCACAGAGCAAUCUGUGUGACUGCGUACCUUUUGUAUAAUGGGUCAGCGACUUAUAUUCUGUAGCAAGGUUAACCGAAUAGGGGAGCCGAAGGGAAACCGAGUCUUAACUGGGCGUUAAGUUGCAGGGUAUAGACCCGAAACCCGGUGAUCUAGCCAUGGGCAGGUUGAAGGUUGGGUAACACUAACUGGAGGACCGAACCGACUAAUGUUGAAAAAUUAGCGGAUGACUUGUGGCUGGGGGUGAAAGGCCAAUCAAACCGGGAGAUAGCUGGUUCUCCCCGAAAGCUAUUUAGGUAGCGCCUCGUGAAUUCAUCUCCGGGGGUAGAGCACUGUUUCGGCAAGGGGGUCAUCCCGACUUACCAACCCGAUGCAAACUGCGAAUACCGGAGAAUGUUAUCACGGGAGACACACGGCGGGUGCUAACGUCCGUCGUGAAGAGGGAAACAACCCAGACCGCCAGCUAAGGUCCCAAAGUCAUGGUUAAGUGGGAAACGAUGUGGGAAGGCCCAGACAGCCAGGAUGUUGGCUUAGAAGCAGCCAUCAUUUAAAGAAAGCGUAAUAGCUCACUGGUCGAGUCGGCCUGCGCGGAAGAUGUAACGGGGCUAAACCAUGCACCGAAGCUGCGGCAGCGACGCUUAUGCGUUGUUGGGUAGGGGAGCGUUCUGUAAGCCUGCGAAGGUGUGCUGUGAGGCAUGCUGGAGGUAUCAGAAGUGCGAAUGCUGACAUAAGUAACGAUAAAGCGGGUGAAAAGCCCGCUCGCCGGAAGACCAAGGGUUCCUGUCCAACGUUAAUCGGGGCAGGGUGAGUCGACCCCUAAGGCGAGGCCGAAAGGCGUAGUCGAUGGGAAACAGGUUAAUAUUCCUGUACUUGGUGUUACUGCGAAGGGGGGACGGAGAAGGCUAUGUUGGCCGGGCGACGGUUGUCCCGGUUUAAGCGUGUAGGCUGGUUUUCCAGGCAAAUCCGGAAAACUAAGGCUGAGGCGUGAUGACGAGGCACUACGGUGCUGAAGCAACAAAUGCCCUGCUUCCAGGAAAAGCCUCUAAGCAUCAGGUAACAUCAAAUCGUACCCCAAACCGACACAGGUGGUCAGGUAGAGAAUACCAAGGCGCUUGAGAGAACUCGGGUGAAGGAACUAGGCAAAAUGGUGCCGUAACUUCGGGAGAAGGCACGCUGAUAUGUAGGUGAAGCGACUUGCUCGUGGAGCUGAAAUCAGUCGAAGAUACCAGCUGGCUGCAACUGUUUAUUAAAAACACAGCACUGUGCAAACACGAAAGUGGACGUAUACGGUGUGACGCCUGCCCGGUGCCGGAAGGUUAAUUGAUGGGGUCAGCGCAAGCGAAGCUCUUGAUCGAAGCCCCGGUAAACGGCGGCCGUAACUAUAACGGUCCUAAGGUAGCGAAAUUCCUUGUCGGGUAAGUUCCGACCUGCACGAAUGGCGUAAUGAUGGCCAGGCUGUCUCCACCCGAGACUCAGUGAAAUUGAACUCGCUGUGAAGAUGCAGUGUACCCGCGGCAAGACGGAAAGACCCCGUGAACCUUUACUAUAGCUUGACACUGAACAUUGAGCCUUGAUGUGUAGGAUAGGUGGGAGGCUUUGAAGUGUGGACGCCAGUCUGCAUGGAGCCGACCUUGAAAUACCACCCUUUAAUGUUUGAUGUUCUAACGUUGACCCGUGAUCCGGGUUGCGGACAGUGUCUGGUGGGUAGUUUGACUGGGGCGGUCUCCUCCUAAAGAGUAACGGAGGAGCACGAAGGUUGGCUAAUCCUGGUCGGACAUCAGGAGGUUAGUGCAAUGGCAUAAGCCAGCUUGACUGCGAGCGUGACGGCGCGAGCAGGUGCGAAAGCAGGUCAUAGUGAUCCGGUGGUUCUGAAUGGAAGGGCCAUCGCUCAACGGAUAAAAGGUACUCCGGGGAUAACAGGCUGAUACCGCCCAAGAGUUCAUAUCGACGGCGGUGUUUGGCACCUCGAUGUCGGCUCAUCACAUCCUGGGGCUGAAGUAGGUCCCAAGGGUAUGGCUGUUCGCCAUUUAAAGUGGUACGCGAGCUGGGUUUAGAACGUCGUGAGACAGUUCGGUCCCUAUCUGCCGUGGGCGCUGGAGAACUGAGGGGGGCUGCUCCUAGUACGAGAGGACCGGAGUGGACGCAUCACUGGUGUUCGGGUUGUCAUGCCAAUGGCACUGCCCGGUAGCUAAAUGCGGAAGAGAUAAGUGCUGAAAGCAUCUAAGCACGAAACUUGCCCCGAGAUGAGUUCUCCCUGACUCCUUGAGAGUCCUGAAGGAACGUUGAAGACGACGACGUUGAUAGGCCGGGUGUGUAAGCGCAGCGAUGCGUUGAGCUAACCGGUACUAAUGAACCGUGAGGCUUAACCUU